Molecule: ribosomal RNA, 314 nt
Filed under: uncultured bacterium
Lineage: Bacteria
Description: bacterial SSU rRNA
Rfam family: Bacterial small subunit ribosomal RNA
Source: RNAcentral
GAUGAACGCUAGCUACAGGCUUAACACAUGCAAGUCGAGGGGCAGCAUGAACUUAGCUUGCUAAGUUUGAUGGCGACCGGCGCACGGGUGAGUAACACGUAUCCAACCUGCCGAUGACUCGGGGAUAGCCUUUCGAAAGAAAGAUUAAUACCCGAUGGCAUAGUUCUUCCGCAUGGUGGAACUAUUAAAGAAUUCCGGUAAAGGAUGGGGAUGCGUUCCAUUAGGUUGUUGGUGAGGUAACGGCUCACCAAGCCUUCGAUGGAUAGGGGUUCUGAGAGGAAGGUCCCCCACAUUGGAACUGAGACACGGUCCAA